This 443-nucleotide ribosomal RNA is filed under the name uncultured bacterium. RNAcentral's name for it is "partial 16S ribosomal RNA". It matches the Rfam family "Bacterial small subunit ribosomal RNA", at positions 338 to 795 of the family's 1533-position model. The record is from RNAcentral.
CCUACGGGGGGCAGCAGUGGGGAAUAUUGGGCAAUGGAGGCAACUCUGACCCAGCAACGCCGCGUGAAUGAUGAAGGUCUUCGGAUUGUAAAGUUCUGUGAUGGGGGAUGAAAACAAUGACGGUACCCCAAUAGCAAGCCACGGAUAACUACGUGCCAGCAGCAGCGGUAAUACGUAGGUGGCAAGCGUUAUCCGGAAUGACUGGGCGGAAAGGGGGCGUAGGUGGUUUAGUAAGUUGGCGGUGUAAUUCCGGGGCUCAACCUCGGCGCUACCGCCAAGACUAUUAGACUAGAGUGCAGGGGGGGUAAGUGGAAUUCCUAGUGUAGCGGUGGAAUGCGUAGAUAUUAGGAAGAACAUCAGGGGCGAAGGCGACUUACUGGACUGUAACUGACACUGAGGCACGAAAGCGUGGGUAGCAAACAGGAUUAGAUACCCGGGUAGUC